UUAUAAAUACUUUUGCAAAAACCCCCAAACCUGUCAGACCAUUAGAGGCCACAGAGUUGUACUCCACUGUUACAGCAGAGCUAUCAGGUGUGAUGAUAGCAGCCAUUAUUUGCUAUUGCCAAAAUUCAGCCUAAUGGUCACUUUGUUGAUAAUUUUUGGAGCCAGAGGCAAGUCUCGAAGAGGUGCCACAUGAAGAAAGGACAACUUUGUUAAUGACAUCCCACAGAAGAGGAGUGCUGUAACUGAAAGGAUGUCACUUCAAAUGAAUUUUCCCAGCAGAAGCUACUGCUGAAUCAUCUUAUUUCCUGUAUAUUGAAACAAAUUGAGAGCAAGGACCUUCCCAGUCACAACAUGUUACUGGAAAUUCAGUAUUGGAAGCUCUUCUGUGCUUUAAAAGUGCAAAGAGUGAAAGAUGCCUUAACUGAAGAUACUGCAUGUGCUGCUUCCUUUUCAGAUCAAACUGCAGACCAAUGCAGUCACCACAACAAACAGGAAUGUGCAGACAGAAUGACUGACCAGGGCUGCUUUGUAUUCUUAGUCCAUCCAAGCUGUGUUUUAAUACAGCCAACAACAAAGAACGUUCCCUAGGAAGCAUUCAGAGACUGUGUGCUUGCGUAUACACACUGUGGCCUUUCAGUACAAAAAGGGGACUUCCAAGAAAGAUGGAGACUUUUCACCAUGGCAUGCUGUGACAUGACAAAGGGCAACACUUUUAAAUUGAAAUGGGGUGGAGUUAGAUUGGACAUGAGAAAGAAAUGUUUUUACAGUGUGGGUGAUGUGACACUGGAACAGGUUGUCAUGAGCUGUGAAGGUCACAUCGCUGAAGUGUUCACAAUGGAGUUGGAUGGGCUUUAAGCAACCUGGUCUAGUGAAAGAUGCCCCUGCCCAUGGCAGGAUGGGUGGAACUAGAAGAUAUGAGGUCACUUUUAACCCAAACCAUUUCACAAUUCUACGACUCUUUGUUUCCAAUGCAAAGAUGGGAAAGACUAGGAGGACAUAACAAUCUGCAUUUAUGAAUAGGCUGAUGAAAGCCCUUGCCUCGGGAAGUGGUUGAAUCACCAUCCUUGGAGGUAUUAAAAAGACAUGUAGAUGUGACACUAAUGGACAUGGCUUAGUGGUGAACUUGUCAAUGCUAUAUGAUAGGAUUCAGUGAUCUUAAAGGUCUUUUCCAACCUAAAUGAUUCUAUGACUUUAUGAUUAUCUGUAUGCGGAAUAGAAAGACAGUGAGGCAUUACUUAUCCUUUAAGGAAAGGACAGUGCCUAUAAAUGUGGGAGUGGUUAUGUGUGACUCAUUAAUUCAUCACUCCUUUUAGUUGUCUUGCAAGUUUAUGUCAACUUGAAAGUCAUCUCCUUAUUAUUAGUGUGACAAAGUUCCCUUUGGGGGGAGUUGCUCAAUUUGUAUUCCAUGGUGAUCAUUAUAGCAAUUUCUUGCCUGCUGCUAGGAUUUUAAUGCAGAAGGCCGAAACUCCUAGCAGUUGCAUCCUGGGCAACUCCUUUGACUUCAGGAAGAUUGCAUGGACUAUUAAUUAGUGCAAAAAUUGGUCCAACUUCUGUAGUCUUUUGGGAGCAUAUAACACAUGCACCAAUAAAAGGAAAAAAAGCAGUUAUUUGAGAGAACAACCACCUGGACUUCUUAAUAGCAAUAUGAACACAACAAACCACUUGAAAAAGCGGUGUCCUUGAAUUUUAUUUCACAAUUGAACAUGUCAUUUUAAGUGUCAUGAUUCAUAGCUACUCAAAUUCUGUACUUUUACAAAGAGCAUUUAUGCACUAACUUGUAAUACAGGUUGUUAAAAAUGAAGAAGUAGUGCUUAAGGUUGUUUUUAUUACGAUAGAUAACAUUAAUUAGCCCUGGUAUGGAAGGGAGGAGAAGUUUCUCUUGAAUGCUCUACUCUGCAGUGCAUUAUUAAUUUUCUCAUUCAUUCCUUUUUAGCUCAUUAGCUUUUAAAUGUUAUAGUCUGAUGGUGAGGUGAAGUUUCAAGUGCCUGUUCCCUCUGCCACCCAUUUCAAGCCAUCUCACAAUCAUUGUCAUUAUGGUUAAUUUAUAUUGCAGUAGUACUCAAUCAAGGGUAGGGAUGCUAUCAUCACAGCUUGUGAUGAUGACAAAAUGGAACUCUUAAAUAAUUCUUUCCGUAUUGUUUUAGGACAGUUUAGGGUUAAACUGAAUUAAAGAAUUCAUUAAAACUCAAGUAAUUCUCCCUUUGUCAAAAAAACCCUUAUUUAGCAGGUAGGAAUAAGCAUUGUUCUUUAUAGACACCAAGCAGGAAGACUAUCAAAGUACUAAUACAAGAAUUGUGGACUGACAUCCACAAUACCAGAUAGCCUUUCAGGACCUUUGACCUGCUAGCUUCAUUUUGCAGGAUAUCCCUUUGAUGAAGUAAUUUACUAAGCCCACACUUUUGAAAAAGAUUUCCCAUAUGAGAUUUGUACAACAUUUAUGGCCUGAGGCUGUAAACAAUUCAUGUACACCAUUUUUUUUUUAAAUCAACCAUGUAGUGAAUGUCAUAGCACUCUAGUAAACUGACCUACAAUAUCUUAGGUGUAAUUGUUCAAUGUACCUCUAAUUCUCCCUUUGUCAGUGGUGACUGUGUUAGGUACAUUGCAGAAAGUAGAUCCUUCCAGCACUGUACUAAGGAAUAAAAGUUCCAGGAGUUGGUGUUUUUAGGAGGCAACUGAAAUAUGUGAGUUUUCUGAGAGCACUGUGACCCUGCUUUUAUGUGUUAGAGUGUACUACUGAAAGGAUUAUAUGGAAUGAGAAGGGAUUAUUUUCAAGCAGGUAUGGUUUCUCCCACACUGUGAAAAACAUAUGACUCAUUUUGUGCUAAUCACACAGUAUUUCUGUGGCAGUACGUGAUAGCAAUUUCUUCAGUUCUUGUCAGUAAUUUACCUUCCUAAUAAGGUGGAGAUGCUUAAAGGGAACCAAGAAUCAAUAGAAGUUGAAAGUCAGUGAAAUCUGAAAUGUGAACCUAAUGAUGAAUCUCUUCAGCUUUACACCUUCUCCCAUGUUUCACCCACCCCUUCAAAUUAGUUUCAAAAUCUCCAGUUAUUUUAGUUCCUCCUUAAUACAAGACUCAGGAGAGCAUCUCUGCCACAUCUACCUUGCUGAGAAAGCCCAAGGGGUCCAACUGUGCAAAGCGUGACCCAUAUAAUGUGUGAGAGAAGUUCUGGGUAGCCAUCACUGUGCUGAGUGUCCUGCUCAGCACAGAAACCCUUUUCCCAUCAAGACAUACCCUUUACAUGCACUGCAUGGCACGAUUAAAGAAGAAAGCUUGUCUCAGGUCUUGCCAAAAUCUACGCAAAGUCACAAAAAGUUUAAAUUUUUUAAAAAGUGUUGGGCAAAGACAUAAUGCUUUUCUGGUCUUUACCUUUCAUUCCUCUUUGUAUCUCCGCAAUAGCAUUGCCAUCAGCAAAGGUCCUCUUUUCUAUGCUCUGUUUUCUGCAUGAAAAUUAAUAUGUUAAUAAAAUAUCUCAUCUCUUGCU
Molecule: long non-coding RNA, 3480 nt
Organism: Haemorhous mexicanus (house finch)
Lineage: Eukaryota; Metazoa; Chordata; Aves; Passeriformes; Fringillidae
Exons: 4
Source: RefSeq, a predicted model, not a curated record